CUCUCAGUCCCGAACUUUACAGGCCGCCCCCUGACGUCAGGAAGGGCCCUGCCAAUGGAGAGGGGCGGCCUGGACCCUAGGAGAGGGGAAGUGGGGGAGGGUCCUCGUGCACAAAGGCCGCGCUCGGGGGAGGGGUUUAUGUACACGUUCCCUAGAGGAGGGAGGGAGCCCACUCGGACCCAAGCCAGGGCCUAAUUCCAACUCGAUUCUUCCUUUAAAUUCCCCAGUUCUGGAUAGAAGAUUUGUCUCUGAAUUCAGUUCUCCAGUUCUCUAAGAGAACCCAUGAUCUCCUUCACUUGAAUUUCGG
RNAcentral lists this long non-coding RNA (307 nucleotides) under Sarcophilus harrisii (Tasmanian devil). RNAcentral's name for it is "lncRNA (ENSSHAG00000027417.1)". The record is from RNAcentral. Lineage: Eukaryota; Metazoa; Chordata; Mammalia; Dasyuromorphia; Dasyuridae.